Molecule: ribosomal RNA, 402 nt
Filed under: bacterium
Lineage: Bacteria
Description: partial 16S ribosomal RNA
Rfam family: Bacterial small subunit ribosomal RNA
Source: RNAcentral
UGGGGAAUUUUGCACAAUGGGGGAAACCCUGAUGCAGCGACGCCGCUUGAUUUAGAAGGCCUUCGGGUUGUAAAAAUCUUUUCUAUGGGAAGAAAAUGACAGUACCAUAGGAAUAAGGACCGGCUAAUUACGUGCCAGCAGCCGCGGUAAUACGUAAGGUCCGAGCGUUGUCCGGAAUCAUUGGGCGUAAAGGGUACGUAGGCGGGUAAGCAAGUUAGAAGUGAAAUCCUAUAGCUCAACUAUAGUAAGCUUUUAAAACUGCUCAUCUUGAGGUAUGGAAGGGAAAGUGGAAUUCCUAGUGUAGCGGUGAAAUGCGCAGAUAUUAGGAGGAAUACCGGUGGCGAAGGCGACUUUCUGGCCAUAACCUGACGCUGAGGUACGAAAGCGUGGGUAGCAAACAGG